Molecule: small nucleolar RNA, 107 nt
Organism: Gossypium arboreum
Lineage: Eukaryota; Viridiplantae; Streptophyta; Magnoliopsida; Malvales; Malvaceae
Rfam family: Plant small nucleolar RNA R71
About the family: R71 is a member of the C/D box family of snoRNAs containing the C (UGAUGA) and D (CUGA) box motifs. Multiple nearly identical copies of this snoRNA have been identified in Arabidopsis, and it is thought to function as a 2'-O-ribose methylation guide for 18S ribosomal RNA.
Source: Rfam
AACCCAUGGUGAGGCCACCUUCUCAAUAAAUCUUUUUACCUCUCCCAUGCAUUAUAUAAAGUUUCUAAAUCCAUUUGCACAAAGGAAGAGAUAUCAUUCCUCAAUUU